RNAcentral lists this ribosomal RNA (497 nucleotides) under uncultured bacterium. RNAcentral describes it as "partial 16S ribosomal RNA". It matches the Rfam family "Bacterial small subunit ribosomal RNA", at positions 28 to 507 of the family's 1533-position model. The record is from RNAcentral.
GAUGAACGCUGGCGGCGUGCCUAACACAUGCAAGUCGAGCGAACGGACGAGAAGCUUGCUUCUCUGAUGUUAGCGGCGGACGGGUGAGUAACACGUGGAUAACCUACCUAUAAGACUGGGAUAACUUCGGGAAACCGGAGCUAAUACCGGAUAAUAUUUUGAACCGCAUGGUUCAAAAGUGAAAGACGGUCUUGCUGUCACUUAUAGAUUGAUCCGCGCUGCAUUAGCUAGUUGGUAAGGUAACGGCUUACUAAGGCAACGAUGCAUAGCCGACCUGAGAGGGUGAUCGGCCACACUGGAACUGAGACACGGUCCAGACUCCUACGGGAGGCAGCAGUAGGGAAUCUUCCGCAAUGGGCGAAAGCCUGACGGAGCAACGCCGCGUGAGUGAUGAAGGUCUUCGGAUCGUAAAACUCUGUUAUUAGGGAAGAACAUAUGUGUAAGUAACUGUGCACAUCUUGACGGUACCUAAUCAGAAAGCCACGGCUAACUACGUG